Molecule: long non-coding RNA, 842 nt
Organism: Ostrinia nubilalis (European corn borer)
Lineage: Eukaryota; Metazoa; Arthropoda; Insecta; Lepidoptera; Crambidae
Exons: 6
Source: RefSeq, a predicted model, not a curated record
CACUCAUUCAUUCGCUGAUUUUGCUCGCUAAUUCAAUCAAUCAUUCAUUCACUCAAUUCUUUUCGAAAUUCCGAGAAAAAAAAUCUUGAUUCCGAAAUAUUCGGAAAUAAAAGCAAACAAAUAAUGGUCAUUUUACCGUAUUUACAUUGUUUACCGUAUAAACAAGAUGGUUUCUUAUUAUCACCAAAUGCAUCGUGACUGGUUGCUCGUCCACCAAGUCCAGGGUUUUUUCUCUAGCACGUGAUGAAGCAUUGCAGGCUCUAAGGAUACAGUACCUCCUGCCUGCAAAUCCUUUAUCAGGAACUAUGACAAAGGAGCAACUUCGUCAAAGAAAGGUCUGCCAAUCACAUUUUGAGGAUAAAUAAAUCUAAAACAAUCUAUUGGUUAUGACAAUGAUGAAUGGAUGUCCUAUUUUUUAUUUAUCCAUGAUGAAAAUAAUAACAUCUCGGCGACCAUCCAAGCUGUUGCUGAUCAGGUCAUCCAGUAAGUUAAACUGCUAAUAGAGAUAACUUCAAUUCAAUGUUGUUGCCAGAUAAUGCUGUGAGUGAAGAAACUAUAUCCUGCCAUCUACAUCAGAGCCACAUCUGUCAUUAUGGAUAAUAUUAUUGCUGCGUCCUAAGGUUCAGCUUGCAAAUAAACCUAUCAAGCAGAGGCGGUACACACAAACAAAAGAUUCCGGCCCAGUGUAUAGUUUUUUUAACUAAAGUUUUUUGUUAUUUUUGCCUCAAGAAUGUACUUAUUGUGAAUUUCUUUGUUAAUGGCUGUAUAGUUUUACUUGAGUCAAAGAAAAUCGUAGUUGUUGUAUAAAAAAAUAAUUUAUAAAUCUAUUAGGGUACAUUUUA